Molecule: non-coding RNA, 909 nt
Filed under: Oryza sativa Indica Group (long-grained rice)
Lineage: Eukaryota; Viridiplantae; Streptophyta; Magnoliopsida; Poales; Poaceae
Description: Bacterial large subunit ribosomal RNA
Rfam family: Bacterial large subunit ribosomal RNA
Source: Rfam by way of RNAcentral
AUGGGUUUUACUAAAUCAAAAUUGUGGUUCUUUAGUGAUUUAUUUUAGAUUUGAAAUUCUUAUAAUUUUGACUCAUUCUAAGUAUUUCUUAUUGCCGAGCCAUAGUAAUUGCACCUAUUAAAGAAACUAGAAGAAUUAUGGAAAUGAGUUCAAAUGGAAGAUAAAAAUCGGUUGCUAAAUGAAUCCCAAUUUGUUGAACGUUAUUUAUGAGACCCCUCGCAAAAGGGGGUCGCAGUGACCAGGCCCGGGCGACUGUUUACCAAAAACACAGGUCUCCGCAAAGUCGUAAGACCAUGUAUGGGGGCUGAUGCCUGCCCAGUGCCGGAAGGUCAAGGAAGUUGGUGAACUGAUGACAGGGAAGCCGACGACCGAAGCCCCGGUGAACGGCGGCCGUAACUAUAACGGUCCUAAGGUAGCGAAAUUCCUUGUCGGGUAAGUUCCGACCCGCACGAAAGGCGUAACGAUCUGGGCACUGUCUCGGAGAGAGACUCGGUGAAAUAGACAUGUCUGUGAAGAUGCGGACUACCUGCACCUAGACAGAAAGACCCUAUGAAGCUUUACUGUUCCCUGGGAUUGGCUUUGGGCCUUUCCUGCGCAGCUUAGGUGGAAGGCGAAGAAGGCCCCCUUCCGGGGGGGCCCGAGCCAUCAGUGAGAUACCACUCUGGAAGAGCUCGGAUUCUAACCUUGUGUCAGACCCGCGGGCCAAGGGACAGUCUCAGGUAGACAGUUUCAGUGGUUUAGUAUGGAACAUUGUCUUUUCCAAGUAAAAACCCCUAGUAUAUGAAAGAAUGAAAAGGUGCUUUCGUUCUUUUCUUGUGGAAUAAGAAGCCCUCGUACCUUAAUGAAAGGAAAAUAGGAAUUUUUCAUUAGGUAUUUGACCAAAUAGGAUCGUCCAGUUCCUAUAGAACC